RNAcentral lists this ribosomal RNA (495 nucleotides) under uncultured bacterium. RNAcentral describes it as "partial 16S ribosomal RNA". It matches the Rfam family "Bacterial small subunit ribosomal RNA", at positions 28 to 507 of the family's 1533-position model. The record is from RNAcentral.
GACGAACGCUGGCGGCGUGCCUAAUACAUGCAAGUAGAACGCUGAAGGAGGAGCUUGCUUCUCCGGAUGAGUUGCGAACGGGUGAGUAACGCGUAGGUAACCUGCCUGGUAGCGGGGGAUAACUAUUGGAAACGAUAGCUAAUACCGCAUAAGAGUAGAUGUCGCAUGACAUUUGCUUAAAAGGUGCAACUGCACCACUACCAGAUGGACCUGCGUUGUAUUAGCUAGUUGGUGAGGUAACGGCUCACCAAGGCAACGAUACAUAGCCGACCUGAGAGGGGGAUCGGCCACACUGGGACUGGGACACGGCCCAGGCUCCUACGGGAAGCAGCAGUAGGGAAUCUUCGGAAAUGGACGGAAGUCUGACCGAGCAACGCCGCGGGAGUGAAGAAGGGUUUCGGGUCGUAAAGCUCUGUUGUAAGGGAAGAACGAGUGUGAGAGUGGAAAGUUCACACUGUGACGGUAUCUUACCAGAAAGGGACGGCUAACUACGUG